AGUGAACGCUGGCGGUAGGCCUAACACAUGCAAGUCGAACGGCAGCACAGUAAGAGCUUGCUCUUACGGGUGGCGAGUGGCGGACGGGUGAGGAAUACAUCGGAAUCUACUUUUUCGUGGGGGAUAACGUAGGGAAACUUACGCUAAUACCGCAUACGACCUACGGGUGAAAGCAGGGGAUCUUCGGACCUUGCGCGAUUGAAUGAGCCGAUGUCGGAUUAGCUAGUUGGCGGGGUAAAGGCCCACCAAGGCGACGAUCCGUAGCUGGUCUGAGAGGAUGAUCAGCCACACUGGAACUGAGCCACGGUCCAGACUCCUACGGGAGGCAGCAGUGGGGAAUAUUGGACAAUGGGCGCAAGCCUGAUCCAGCCAUACCGCGUGGGUGAAGAAGGCCUUCGGGUUGUAAAGCCCUUUUGUUGGGAAAGAAAAGCAGCAGGUUAAUACCCCGCUGUUCUGACGGUACCCAAAGAAUAAGCACCGGCUAACUUCGG
This 491-nucleotide ribosomal RNA is filed under the name uncultured bacterium. Its description in RNAcentral is "partial 16S ribosomal RNA". It matches the Rfam family "Bacterial small subunit ribosomal RNA", at positions 29 to 506 of the family's 1533-position model. The record is from RNAcentral.